CUAUCUGCAGUCGAGCGACUGAUUAGAAGCUUGCUUCUAUGACGUUAGCGGCGGACGGGUGAGUAACACGUGGGCAACCUGCCUGUAAGACUGGGAUAACUUCGGGAAACCGAAGCUAAUACCGGAUAGGAUCUUCUCCUUCAUGGGAGAUGAUUGAAAGAUGGUUUCGGCUAUCACUACAGAUGGGCCCGCGGUGCAUUAGUUAGUUGGUGAGGUAACGGCUCACCAAGGCAACGAUGCAUAGCCGACCUGAGAGGGUGACCGGCCACACUGGGACUGAGACACGGCCCAGACUCCUACGGGAGGCAGCAGUAGGGAAUCUUCCGCAAUGGACGAAAGUCUGACGGAGCAACGCCGCGUGAGUGAUGAAGGCUUUCGGGUCGUAAAACUCUGUUGUUAGGGAAGAACAAGUAUGAGAGUAACUGCUCGUACCUUGACGGUACCUAACCAGAAAGCCACGGCUAACUACGUGCCAGCAGCCGCGGUAAUACGUAGGUGGCAAGCGUUAUCCGGAAUUAUUGGGCGUAAAGCGCGCGCAGGCGGUUUCUUAAGUCUGAUGUGAAAGCCCACGGCUCAACCGUGGAGGGUCAUUGGAAACUGGGGAACUUGAGUGCAGAAGAGAAAAGCGGAAUUCCACGUGUAGCGGUGAAAUGCGUAGAGAUGUGGAGGAACACCAGUGGCGAAGGCGGCUUUUGGUCUGUAACUGACGCUGAGGCGCGAAAGCGUGGGGAGCAAAACAGGAUUAGAUACCCCUGGGUAGUCCACCCCGUAAAACGAUGAGUGCUAAGUGUUAGAGGGUUUUCCCCCCUUUAGUGCUGCAGCUAACGCAUUAAGCACUCCCCCUGGGGAAG
RNAcentral lists this ribosomal RNA (851 nucleotides) under uncultured bacterium. RNAcentral describes it as "bacterial SSU rRNA". It matches the Rfam family "Bacterial small subunit ribosomal RNA", at positions 51 to 881 of the family's 1533-position model. The record is from RNAcentral.